Octopus sinensis (East Asian common octopus) is the source of this 206-nucleotide long non-coding RNA. RefSeq lists it as uncharacterized. Lineage: Eukaryota; Metazoa; Mollusca; Cephalopoda; Octopoda; Octopodidae. The record is from RefSeq and is a predicted model, not a curated record. The transcript has 2 exons.
UUUACUAGUCGGACGUGUUUUUGCUUCGCUGCGGUUUUUUUUUCAUUUUUGUAUAACGCCACCAUUGUUUGGUGAGCGUUGCUGAGAUGGAGAAAAUGAAGACAUAUGCAGCAGCGACGGGGAGUCGGGUUUCCGUCGUCCAGGGCCUGCUGAAGCAAUACGAAAUGCGCUGGAAUGAAGACAUGGCUAAGAAAUUUGGAAAAUAU